AGCGAACGCUGGCGGCAGGCCUAACACAUGCAAGUCGAACGAACCUUUCGGGGUUAGUGGCGGACGGGUUAGUAACACGUGGGAACGUGCCCUUAGGUUUGGACUAACUCAGGGAAACUUGUGCCAAUACCGAAUGUGCCCUUCGGGGGAAAGAUUAAUUGACUUUCUAGCGUCCCGCGUCUGAUUAGCUAGUUGGUUGAGGUAAUGGCUCACCAAGGCGACGAUCAGUAGCUGGUAUGAGAGGAUGAUCAGCAACAUUGGGACUGGGACACGGCCCAAACUCCUACGAGAGGCAGCAGUGGGGAAUCAUGCGCAAUGGGCGAAAGCCGAACGCAGCCAUGCCGCGUGAAUGAUGAAUGUCUUAGGAUUGUAAAAUUCUUUCACCGGGGACGAUAAGGACGGUACCCGGAGAAGAAGCCCCGGCUAACUUCGU
Molecule: ribosomal RNA, 433 nt
Filed under: uncultured bacterium
Lineage: Bacteria
Description: partial 16S ribosomal RNA
Rfam family: Bacterial small subunit ribosomal RNA
Source: RNAcentral